AUGGACAUGAGGGCCCCAGCUCAGCUCCUCAGCCUCCUGCUGCUCUGGCUCCCAGAGGCCAGGUGUGAGAUCCAGAUGACCCAGUCUCCAGCCUCCGUGUCUGCAUCUCCAGGAGACAGAGUCACCAUCACCUGCCGGGCCAGUCAGGGUGUUAGCAUAUGGUUAAACUGGUAUCAGCAGAAACCAGGGAAAGCUCCUAAGCCCAUGAUCUACCAUGCAUCCAAUUUGCAUCCCGGGGUCCCAUCCCGCUUCAGUGGCAGUGGAUCUGAGACAGAUUUCACUCUCACCAUCAGCAGUGUGGAGCCUGAAGAUGCUGCCACUUACUACUGUCAGCAGUGGAAAGCUGUUCCUCUCACAGUGAUACAAACCUGA
Molecule: non-coding RNA, 372 nt
Organism: Talpa occidentalis (Iberian mole)
Lineage: Eukaryota; Metazoa; Chordata; Mammalia; Eulipotyphla; Talpidae
Source: the annotation of a RefSeq genome assembly